Long non-coding RNA from Alligator mississippiensis (American alligator), 5270 nucleotides. RefSeq lists it as uncharacterized. NCBI's taxonomy places the organism in Eukaryota, Metazoa, Chordata, Crocodylia, Alligatoridae. The record is from RefSeq and is a predicted model, not a curated record. The transcript has 3 exons.
GUCAUCUAGACCCAGCACUCUUUCCUGCCUAUGCAGGGGGUCUGACUCUAUGAUCUAUUGAGGUCCCUUCCGAUCCUAACAUCUAUGAAUCUAUGAAUCUAUGACAGUUCACCAGAGCUUGUACAUGCUGCUCAUUUUCUUAUGAUGAUAGGUAUCUUUUUCUGGGCAAUUAUCUAUCAGGGUGGAAGUUAUUCCUUUGCCCCAUUGUAGGAGAAGAAGUGGCAGGCAUGCUGAAGAGAAGCGGCUCAGCUCAGGCGAUGGCCCCGUAGAUGUUCUUUCUCCCACCUCCUGGAGCAAUACCUGUGGCUUGGAGGUUCAGCUGCUGGCCCAGAGGUAGGGCCUGCAAAUGGCUCUAGAGGGAUGGGGCACAAGACAGAGGUCCCGGUGGCCCUCUCUGGCUCUCUCUACUGGCAAAAUGGUCUUGUGGGAUGCAUCGGUCCACCAGCAUUGUUGCUUCUGGCCCAUUUCUUGAAUGGUGUUAGUCCACAAGGGCUGUUUAGUCUCCUUUCAUGGCCCUUGUAUGCAGCAGGAGACAGCUUUGCAUGGCAGGAGCAGGGCUUUUGAACCUUCUGGUGAAAAGCUGAGGGAUCACCUUCCUCAUCUCACUGUUUUCGAUUAGGGAAGAGUCCCUUUGUGCGAUGGGUGUUUUCCCGCUUGCACGAGUCCCAUCAUCUCACAGACUCUUCCGGGCUCCAUUGUCACGGGGCUGCCAAGAGUGUUGUUUGCAUAGCUAACCAAAGCAGACCAGACUCCCACUUUUGCAGUAACCUGGGUCAUUCUCCUCAGAUAUCUGCCAGCACUCAUGCCGACGUGGAUUCAUCGAGAAGCAAGCUGUCACUCAGGGGAUCUUUCUGAAGUCCUCUGCACCUUUUUUGUAUGGCCUGGAAGCAAAGGAGAUGAUUAAUGUUUCAUAUCUCUACCUGCUUCAUUUGUGGUUCUGCUGGCCAGACACAACGCAAAUCACAUGAGCCCCAACAUCAGGGUUGUCCUGGAGACCAAAACCAGAGCGUCUUAGGCUGGUGCUCUGACCCACUGGUUUUAUCCCUAUCAUGAUGCCUGUGACCCGCAGGGGCUGCAGCCAUAAACCGAGACCUGGUUUUGUCUCUUUGGCAGCCGAGCAGGCCUGCUUUGCUGUCACCGUCAGAAAACAAUUGGAACCGAGGGGAACGAUGAAGCCUCGUGGCCUGACACAAGGUGACUGUGAAAUGUAACAACCCGUCUUUGCUAUGAAUGCCCUUUGCUGCUUGGCUCUACCCCGCCGAUUCAAUUUGUACGCACUGUCCAGCCCCACACUUCCACCCCCUCUUUGUCUUUGGUGCCAGCCUUUAUCACCUGUCCAAUUUCCCCUCCCUUUUGCCCUUGUUUCCCCUUUUCUGAAUGGUAAAAGCUCCUCAGAAGAAACAAAAAUCCUCAAAAGCACUGCGUUGUCUCUUUCCAAUCUCUCCGUAAAGCAUGAGACUUCAGGCGAGUCUGCAUUCUGUAUCUUGGGGUCGCAACACAGGAAAUGUAGCCCACCGGAUUGGCACGGGUGGGGGGGUGAAGCCGGUCAACACAAUUGCACUGUCCUCAUGUCAGGUGUUUCGAGUCAGUCAGAGCUCGGGCAGGCACCUUGUCUAGCUGAAUGACCAAUAAUAAUGAAGCUGUGGCAGCGACUAGCGCCAGUUGCAAAACCUGCGUGAGCAACCGGGCAGAUGCUCAGGUAUUUGAUGCUCAGGUGGGGUUGCCUGUGCUUGGCUCCAGCCUGUCAUGGCCCCGUUGUACUAAAUUGAGAAGUGGAAGGGUUUGUUAUGUACUCACGAGUGGUACUUUGCGGUCGGUUUUGUUUUUAAUUCUCUCUCUGCAAUGAUACCGUGCUUCCCCAGGAUGGGGUUUGAAAGCAAGAAAUGGCCGAGUUAAGGAGCAGCCUGUGCUGUAAGCGUGCUCGGUGGUGACCCUCCAGCGGAACUGAAUCUCCUGCUACGUGAUAUACAAGUGCACGCACAGCUUUGGUGUGUCUUGCUGCGCGCGUGAGGAUGCUGUGCAGAAAAUAACAGCUACCUUUUCUGAAUGCUGGGAUGCUUUUUGAACACCGGAAUGUGCAGUGCGGCUGCCUCCCCACCAGGAGCCAUUGGCAGCCGUAGUCAAUCAGGAGAUUGUUCUCAUUUCUGACAGCAGAGAUGUUUCCUUGUUGUCCAGUAUCAUUCCUAGCAUGAGGGAGAGAGUGGGGCCCCACGGACCGCAGCGAGAGAGAGAGGCAGUGAGAGUGAAUGUGCCAUUGGGACUUGCCUUCAGAGGUUCUGCCCUUCCAGAGAUCAGAAGUGUCGAUCAGGUUAUCAUUGUCCCGGCCGCCGUAACGUGUCAGCAGUCCCAGAGAGCUAGAUUAGAUGAGAAAGCAGAAGCUUCUUGUUCCUCACGUGCGCUCUGAAACAGCUGGCUGUUGCACAGCAGACAACUUGCUCUUGAGCCUGCUGCCCGGUGGAGACGCACAGGUUUGUGCCCAUUGCACACCUGGGAGCCAAAGACCUGGACCCAGACCCCCCAGCAGAGGGCUAGGAGGUAAAAGCUGGGCCGACAGAGCAGGCAGGUGAGUGCAGGGGUGCUUGCAGGGGUUUGAGUGAGUGUGCAUAUGGGGCUGUGCUGGGUGGGAUGCGCUGGUUGAGUGGAGCCCAGGAGGGGAACCCUGCCCCCUCCCCCAGGUCUCUACUUAGCUGAGCCCCGGGACUGGAGCUGCGUGAACACAGCAUGGAAACUGGUGCGGCCUGACAAAGGUGCAGCAGUUUGAAUGGGAGUUUGCAUUGAGGGGUCCACACAAGGCACCUGGAGGGCUGGGCCAAGCAAGCAACCUGAGCCCAGAGGCCUAAACAGAAGCUCCUGAGACCAGGUAAGUAUGAGAAGUAGCUGGCGGCCAUGGCAGCGACCCACCAUGCCUGCCAGCAUCAGCUUCUUGACUCCGAGACCUCCACCCAGACAGGCCCUGGACCACGGGGGCUGCUGAUACCCGAGCAUGGAAGCACCCCGCCUUAUGGGAUGUGCACUUUGGUGGAGUCCCUGGAGGGCCGAGUGCAUUAAACUCGAGGAGGAGGUGUGCCAGGUGUGUGCCAUCAGGGCCCACAAAGAUUACUGCCACAACUACCACCAAGCCCUACUCCAGGGGAAUGGGGGAGGAGCUGGCCACAAAGCCCCUCCCUGAGCUCCCUGGAAAACAGUCAUCUCCAUGUCCAGGUCACGCAGAGCUAGGGUCACUCCUCCCCUGGCACUGCACAACAGGUACACAACCCUGGCGGUGCAAGAGGAGACUCUGACAGAGACACCAGAGGAGGAGGUAAGUAUUCAGGAGGUAAGUAUCCCCACCCCUAGGAGGAGAUGCCAGUUGGUGGCAGCAGGGGACUCUCUCCCGAGAGGUACAGAGGAACCUAUCUGCCCUCUGAACCCCGUAGCCCAAGGGGUCUGCUGGCUCCCUGGGGCCUGCAUCUGAGAGGAUCCUCAGGCUCGUCCAUCCCUCUGACUAUUACUCCAUGUUCCUCGUCCAUGCGGGCAUGGACGAUGCGGCCAGGGGUAACCCUGACUGGGACACAAGUGACUGAAGGGCCCUGGGGGCUGGGCUCGAGGGACUGGGGACUCAAGUCGUUUUAUGUUCUGUGCUUCCUGCUGCAGGCCACGGAGCCAGGAGAGACGGCUGCAUGGAAGAGGUCAACAGACGCCUCUGACAGUGGUGUGACUGCAAGGGGUCCGCUUUCUUUGACCCCAGCAUGUACUUCAGAGAGCGAGGACUCCUAGGAGAGGCCCCCGAACCAAGCGGAGGAGCUGGAUGUGGAUUUCUCUCGAGAACCGACAGAGACACCGGGAGUGCCAGGGACUCGGUUGUCACUGGCGACUUCAAGUACCCGGACGCAGCUCGGGAGGAACGCUCAGCUAGGUCGGAUCAGUCACGCAGUUCCCUGACUGCGAUCGAGGAGCUCUUCCUGAAGCGGGAUGUGCAAGGUCCAACCAGAGGCAUGAGACCCCUGAGGAGCAAGAUGAACCAAUUGCCGUGUCGAUACUGAUGUAAUAACGGCGCUCUUGGAGUCGAGUGCCACGCUGGCAAGCGAAGGAGCCAGCCGUCUCAGUCCAGAGGUCACCUCCACCUUUUUUUCUGGGGCAGCGCAAGUAUGUUUUCUGCUCUUCUUCUUCUUCAGGUGCCUCUGUUUACGUUACCUAGACCAAAGUCUACCAAGCUCUCCAGGUUCGAUUUCCAAGACGCGAGUCAUUGUCUGUGUCAAAAAGAUGUGUGCGCCUUAUCCUUCAUCCCAGAAAACGUGAUGGAGACCAAAAUGGGGAGGAUUCCAGGCCUCCCCAAUGACCGCCGAGCCUCUCGGAGAAGGGGGCUAGGCACGGGGGGGUCUGGGAAACUGCAGCCCAAAGUCUCAACACAUCUCACGCAUCUGCGUUAAGCCACAGUGCCCUAGCACAUGUUGAUUGCCACGUCUCCAGCAAAACCACCACAAAGAAGCACCUCAGUGGCUCAGCUCGGCAUUGGUGAGACUGCCGCUGGAGCACUGCAUCUGGUUCCGGGCCCCAAACUUUAAGAGGGAUGUGGUAAAGCUCAAGACAGGCCGGAGAAGAGUCACCUAUAUGCUCAGAGACUCACAUGGCAAGCCGUACGAGGAAAAGCUUGGUUCCUGUCCCAGGCUGAAGAUGAGCCUUGCUGUGGCUCAGGUGCUGGCCUUUCCUUUGCCCCUUUGGUGGUGUGUGAGGGUGUGUGAGAUGGGCUGUAAGUUUGGCAUCCUGCAGGAUGUGUCAGGCUGUGUGCACAGCCACGUGUACUGCCUUGUGAGGUCUGACAUUGAGUGUGUGCCUGGGCCGCUUUGCGCGUGAUGUGUGUUGGGGAGGCGGGGGCUGGAGGCGCAGCAUGUGGGGCUGGGUGACGUUCUGGGUAGAUGGAGUGACCCUAGGGCUAUGCAUGUGGUCUGGCGAGACCCAGGCCAGGGGCCGUGUGAGCAGCAGAGAGUGGCCGGAGCGCAGGGGGCAUCCUGAGCGGGGAGGAAGCUGUCAUGCCUCGUCGGAGAUGGGGCUCUGUUUUUGUGCACCCAUGGCCUUGAGAAUUGUGUAGUAUGCCAUUGGCCUGUGGCAGGGGCCUGCUUGCUGAAGGGGCCCCUGGAGGAGUUGCCGUACAAAGGGACUGAUGGUGGGAUCAAGGUGGCCGGCGAGAGGGAGCAAGGCAACCUUGGGCCUCCGGAGCCCUGCGGUGAGCCUGGUGCUGCAGGUGUCAGGUAAGAGGGCUUGUGGCGGGGUGCAGCCUGGCCUGGAUUCAU